Non-coding RNA from Penaeus vannamei (Pacific white shrimp), 1888 nucleotides. The record is from RefSeq and is a predicted model, not a curated record. NCBI's taxonomy places the organism in Eukaryota, Metazoa, Arthropoda, Malacostraca, Decapoda, Penaeidae.
UCGCGAUAUCCUCGCAGGGACAAAGACGGAGCUCUGGGUCGCGUCCGAGGAGCGCACCGAAGAGGGGAGGAGCAUCAGCGGCGCGGUGGUCCUGUAUCCCUCGGCGACCAGCGGACUCCGACCUGGCGCCGUGUGCAAAGACGAGCAGUGGGGCGGCCCCGAGGCCUGGGUCGUGUGCAGAGGGAACGCUACCGAGAACGAGGAACUCACCGAAGCUCAUCCAUUCGACAUGCCAAAGACCGAGCAGAUGCCAGAGGUCAUGCUCAGUAAGAUUCAGUGCGAAGGAAACGAGUCCAGCAUCUCCUACUGCAAAUGUUCCGGGUCGCGGUGCUCCGAGAGAUGGGGGAAGAAGAAAUGCGAAGGUCCAGCUGCAGUGAUGUGUAUCUUUAAGAACAAGCCAGUGAAAUAAGGCCGUAGGGUAGACUUUGGAACUGAGCUAAUGGAAACAGAUCUCAGUUGAUUAGAACAGGAUUAGUGAGUAGUAAACUGUGAUACUUUAGUAAUGUGAAAAAGAAGGAAACCAAUAUUUUUUUUUAAUUCUUUGUAGUCACAUCCUUUUAUGCUAGACAAUCACGUUCCUUUUGGAUAGUAUAUUGAUAUCACAUGGAUUGAAUUUGUCUGUGUUUCGAUCACAGAAAUUUUUCAGAGCUUAUUUUAUCUAAUACUGCAUAUCAAAAUUAUUUUACCUGGAAUAUAUGGCUUGUUCUAGCCAUAUAUUUGAUUAAGUGCCUGAUACUUUUCAACUUUUACAAAUUUGUAUCAACAGAUGCAUUAGCAUGGUUUUAAACUAUGGCUCCUUAUGCAAAUCCCAUCCCUGUGCAAUCAGAACCUGCACUAAACAUUUAAUUCGUUGUCAUUUGGCAGAGGGAUUCCGUUCUGUUCUCUGUGGGAAAUCCUUCGUGUGGGUUGGAGUCCUUGUCAGGGAUGGUAUUUGGACAUCUGUGUCUUACGCGUUAUUGCAUUUUUACAUCGUAUACCACCAUAUUUUUGUUGAAAUCCAGUGUGCCUUCUUCACCUACUUAUCGACUUGUAAGAAUGGUACAAAACUAUAUUUAAAUUGGGCAGCAUUAGAUUUCAUAAAUAAUAGAUUCCAUGUGUAACAUUUUGUGCUCUGAGAGGUCAUUCGGACAAAACGGCCGUCUGUCGGUUUUAUUAGAUUCCUGCCGUCAUUUGUAGCAACUGGUCAACAAGACUAAACUUUUGUGCAACAACUUUACAUUGCACUUGUGUCACUGAGGUCAUGGUCUGCAAGAACGUAUUUUUGUGCACAGUAUGUAUCCCAUUCUAAAAGUAAGCUCAUCAUAAAAAGUGAUAAUUUAAUGUUAACACAAAUAUGCCUGUAACAAUAUUGUUUCUAGAAGAAUGUGCAUUUUCAGCUUCACUAAGAAUUUUGUAAAUCCUAACCAUAUUUAGCUUUAAAAAAAAACUCAAUAUUAAUCAUGAAAAUGAAUACAUAUUGUUUUUUUUUUAUGAAGCAGGUGUGUGUUUGUCAGUUUUUCAUAAAAACUAUUUAAUUUCAUUUGCAAUUUUUUUCCCAAAAUAUUUUCAGAAUAGAGGGAUUUGUAAUACAUCAUAAUCUUGAAGAAGCUUGCUGAAUAUAUUUAUAUGUAAUCUGAAAAUACGGAAAAUUCUUAACAGAUUUAGGAUUGCAAACCUUUUUGCAUCAGCUCUACAGGACAAUGAAAUUCUGUAUGAAUUCGUGUUUGAUUUAGGAUUUUAAUUAUAUAUGCUAUUUUUAAUGCAUCUGAAAGAACAUGUUAUAAACGGAUGUAGAAUUAAUUUUGCAUGAAAAGCUACUCGCACAGAGGGAUUCAAUGUAGCAGGAAAAUUAUAAUUGGCUUUAACCAUUUUGUUGCAGUCAUUUAUGGAAAUAAAUUUGAACCUGGUA